Molecule: ribosomal RNA, 253 nt
Filed under: uncultured bacterium
Lineage: Bacteria
Description: partial 16S ribosomal RNA
Rfam family: Bacterial small subunit ribosomal RNA
Source: RNAcentral
UACGAAGGGGGCUAGCGUUGCUCGGAAUCACUGGGCGUAAAGAGCUCGUAGGCGGUCUGUCACGUCGGAUGUGAAAACUCGGGGCUCAACCCCGAGCCUGCAUUCGAUACGGGCAGACUAGAGUUCGGUAGGGGAGACUGGAAUUCCUGGUGUAGCGGUGAAAUGCGCAGAUAUCAGGAGGAACACCGGUGGCGAAGGCGGGUCUCUGGGCCGAUACUGACGCUGAGGAGCGAAAGCGUGGGGAGCGAACAGG